CCAAUUGCACUCGCAAUACUCGAAAAUUUGUUCCACCAAGAUCCAACGCAUAGAAGACGCCAGCUUCAUCACCAGUGGGUAGAUUAUCCACAUAAGUGAUAAGCAUCUUGAGCUUACUGCCGCCUUCAGAAGCAAGUCCGGCGUGCAUCUCAACAGUCAUAGCAUCAGCAACUUGCUUAAGCUUUGCAUCUUGAGUCUUACACUUUUCUUCAAAUUCACGAAGAAUAGCCAUAGCACGACCCCAUUUACUAGAUUUCCGCAUCCGGUGAUUCACUAUUAACACCGCCACUGCACACACCGCAGCUGCACCAACCACGGCGACUCCCACCGUCACUUUCUUCAUUUUGCCGGAAUUUGAGGUUGGCAAAAAGUUGGUCCACUGAGAAAAAAAUGAAAUGAGUAAAGUAAAGAUUUGUGAUUUUUUAAGG
This 428-nucleotide unclassified non-coding RNA is filed under the name Hevea brasiliensis (rubber tree). Lineage: Eukaryota; Viridiplantae; Streptophyta; Magnoliopsida; Malpighiales; Euphorbiaceae. The record is from RNAcentral.